This is a long non-coding RNA of Bradysia coprophila, 547 nucleotides long. The record is from RefSeq and is a predicted model, not a curated record. NCBI's taxonomy places the organism in Eukaryota, Metazoa, Arthropoda, Insecta, Diptera, Sciaridae.
CAAUGAUGUACUGAACAUAUGUUACAUCCUAGACGCAACCCAAUGCAAAUUCUGAGAGAAUUAUUGUCCAUGAAAGUUCCAAUAUUCGAAGAAGGAAUUGAAUGUAGCCAGGCGUUAGAUUCUUUACAUUGUAAAGCCUGAAAACGUGCUAAAUCAACCUUAGAGGUAAAUUUUAAAUUCGUUUUGAUUAUUCGUUGAAUGUUGAUAAGAUCCCAAGCCUUUUGUGAGGACUUCAAAGAAGGUACAUGAACAUUGAAACCUUUCCAUUUCUCUAAAGCUUCAUCGAAUCUAAUGGAAAAGGCCUCGUCGUGAGAAUUUACGAUACGAGAGACGAGGCCCUUAACACCAAAUGAAGAGCUGAGGAAAGCCGCGUUAAUUGAUAAAAAGCUUCUAGUCGCGUGUACCGCAGCUUCACAACCUUGCCUGGUACCAACUCCCAACUGAAGAGGAUACAGAAAUUCGCCCAUUGCGAUUGGGCGGAUUCCUCCAUCUUUCUUCAUAAGUGCACAGAGAGAAGCACCGAAGGCGUAUUGACAAAUUGCAUCAU